AUAUCUCUUCUCGUUCCCUUGUUUCAUAUCUCUGGUAGCAUCUAUCAUUCACUUCUAUUCUGGUUGUUGCUCUUGUACCAUAUCUCUUCUACCAUCUCUGUCUUAGCAUCUGUGUUCUACCAUCAUUAAAUAAUAAUCCAUAUGGUGGUGCUCCCGGUUACUUUAGCCUUAAUAACUUUCCUUAUGAUAGCUUUUCCCAAAAUCUCAACUUUGGAUCUCCACAAGGCACCCAAAACCCUUC
This 241-nucleotide long non-coding RNA is filed under the name Capsella rubella. Its description in RNAcentral is "long non-coding RNA (CRUB_LNC001660)". The record is from RNAcentral. Lineage: Eukaryota; Viridiplantae; Streptophyta; Magnoliopsida; Brassicales; Brassicaceae.